UUAAAGGCUGCGAUAAGGACACGGGCUCGUAUAACCAUUGUUUAGAGAACUGACGGUUGGUGAAAGUCAGUCGUGGCAUAUGUUGCCUAUCCCCUUUAAGCCUGCCUCUGAAAUUACAGUAAGAGAGUACGGGUUCUCCCGUUACAGAGAGUAGCAUUGUCAGAUGCGGCAGAGUGGUCUGUUUAUACAGACAAUUAAGGUGGUACCACGGAAUUUCGUCUUUCGUCCUUUAU
RNAcentral lists this non-coding RNA (233 nucleotides) under Clostridium sp. RNAcentral's name for it is "T-box sequence". It matches the Rfam family "T-box leader". From Rfam's summary of the family: Uncharged tRNA acts as the effector for transcription antitermination of genes in the T-box leader family. T-boxes are found upstream of many aminoacyl-tRNA synthetase genes and some amino acid biosynthetic genes usually in Gram-positive bacteria. The record is from RNAcentral. Lineage: Bacteria; Bacillati; Bacillota; Clostridia; Eubacteriales; Clostridiaceae.